AGCAGCCGCGGUAAUUCCAGCUCCAAUAGCGUAUAUUAAAGUUGCUGCAGUUAAAAAGCUCGUAGUUGAAUUUCGGGACCAAUAUGUCGGUCGUGCCUCGGUACGUACUGGCAUCGUUGGUUUCUCCUUUCUGAAGAACCAUGAUGUCAUUUAUUUGGUGUCGUGGGGAAUCAGGACUGUUACUUUGAAAAAAUUAGAGUGUUUAAAGCAGGCUCACGCUUGAAUACAUUAGCAUGGAAUAAUGAAAUAGGACGUUUGAUUCUAUUUUGUUGGUUUCUAGGAUCGACGUAAUGAUUAAUAGGGAUAGUUGGGGGCAUUAGUAUUCAAUUGUCAGAGGUGAAAUUCUUGGAUUUAUUGAAGACUAACUACUGCGAAAGCAUUUGCCAAGGAUGUUUUCAUUAAUCAAGAACGAAAGUUAGGGGAUCGAAGACGAUCAGAUACCGUCGUAGUCUUAACCAUAAACUAUGCCGACUAGGGAUCGGAUGAUGUUAAUUUUUUAAUGACUCAUUCGGCGCCUUAC
This 520-nucleotide unclassified non-coding RNA is filed under the name uncultured Glomus. Its description in RNAcentral is "SSU rRNA". It matches the Rfam family "Eukaryotic small subunit ribosomal RNA", at positions 569 to 1091 of the family's 1831-position model. RNAcentral also lists the same sequence under 1 other name. The record is from RNAcentral. Lineage: Eukaryota; Fungi; Glomeromycota; Glomeromycetes; Glomerales; Glomeraceae.